UCUGCCACGAUAGACGCGUUGCAGGUGUGGCCACUAUGUCACAUGUAUGUCAGUAGGUGUCACAGAGGACAAGGCUGUGCCUAUGCUGAGUGUUCUGACCAACACCUGAAUAAAUAGUAGCCUAAUAUU
Small nucleolar RNA from Mastomys coucha (southern multimammate mouse), 129 nucleotides. RefSeq annotates it as small nucleolar RNA SNORA17. The transcript has a single exon. NCBI's taxonomy places the organism in Eukaryota, Metazoa, Chordata, Mammalia, Rodentia, Muridae. The record is from RefSeq and is a predicted model, not a curated record.